AGACCCGAAACCCGGUGAUCUAGCCAUGGGCAGGUUGAAGGUUGGGUAACACUAACUGGAGGACCGAACCGACUAAUGUUGAAAAAUUAGCGGAUGACCUGUGGCUGGGGGUGAAAGGCCAAUCAAACCGGGAGAUAGCUGGUUCUCCCCGAAAGCUAUUUAGGUAGCGCCUCGUGAAUUCAUCUCCGGGGGUAGAGCACUGUUUCGGCUAGGGGGCCAUCCCGGCUUACCAACCCGAUGCAAACUGCGAAUACCGGAGAAUGUUAUCACGGGAGACACACGGCGGGUGCUAACGUCCGUCGUGAAGAGGGAAACAACCCAGACCGCCAGCUAAGGUCCCAAAGUCAUGGUUAAGUGGGAAACGAUGUGGGAAGGCCCAGACAGCCAGGAUGUUGGCUUAGAAGCAGCCAUCAUUUAAAGAAAGCGUAAUAGCUCACUGGUCGAGUCGGCCUGCGCGGAAGAUGUAACGGGGCUAAACCAUGCACCGAAGCUGCGGCAGCGAACGUAUCACCCAAGACAACUUUACGGAGUUGACGAUUGACGGAGCGAAGCGACGUCAAAGCGUUCAUUAAAGUCGAGUUGGCUUAGGGAUACGUUCGUUGGGUAGGGGAGCGUUCUGUAAGCCUGUGAAGGUGUGUCGUGAG
RNAcentral lists this ribosomal RNA (644 nucleotides) under Salmonella enterica. RNAcentral describes it as "partial 23S ribosomal RNA". It matches the Rfam family "Bacterial large subunit ribosomal RNA", at positions 711 to 1267 of the family's 2925-position model. Lineage: Bacteria; Pseudomonadati; Pseudomonadota; Gammaproteobacteria; Enterobacterales; Enterobacteriaceae. The record is from RNAcentral. RNAcentral also lists the same sequence under 1 other name.